Molecule: unclassified non-coding RNA, 282 nt
Filed under: uncultured Glomerales
Lineage: Eukaryota; Fungi; Glomeromycota; Glomeromycetes; Glomerales; Glomeraceae
Description: sequence contains 5.8S rRNA gene, ITS2, 28S rRNA gene
Rfam family: 5.8S ribosomal RNA (bases 1-52)
Source: RNAcentral
AACGCAAAUUGCACUCUCUGGUAUUCCGGAGAGUAUGCCUGUUUGAGGGUCAGUUAAAUAAAAAUCGGUGUUUUUGCCACUUUUUGUGGUGAUGCAUCGGAAUUGAGUCGUCUUUACCUUUGGUUUAAGUGGCUUAAAAUUUUGUAUGAUAUUUAACGUAUUUAAAUUUAUUUACUUGCGUUUUGUAAUGUCAACCUAUUAGAUGUGAUCAUUUUCAUGAUUCGCGUCUAUAAUUUUUCAUUAAAUGACCUCAAAUCAGGUAAGAAUACCCGCUGAACUUAA